CCCACUCAAAUUUGUGCCAAUAGUCCUCAUCCGAGAGGACUCUUGUAUUUUGGCGUUAACUUGAAAUGAGGUGCCCCUUUCUGGACUGCCUCCAGAUGGCACGACCUAACCCAAUUGCUCACCAAAUUGGGUUAGCAAAUUAGAAAGGUAUGAGAUCAAAUAGAUCUUCCAAGGAGCUAGGGUUUUCACACGUGCUAACAUGCUUAUCGGAGACCCUGAUUGGAUCCAAAAUUUAAAUCAACCUUAUCAAAAGGGUCCUUGGCCAAUUUUCUUAUGUGUUUGACCCAUUGGGUUCCACAUCUGGCCAGCAGUAGGUUUGGAUGCAAGUUGACCUAAUUUGAUUAGACUCCAAUCUAACCAAUUUAGGUCCAAUCGAGCUAAUUCGAGUUCAACAAUUAAAAUCCUUUCUAAUUGGCGAUUGAAUUAAACUCUUUAAUUCGAUUAAACCUACAAGUCAAGAUUGACGUCUAGCAACGUAUUAUGACUACCCAGA
RNAcentral lists this long non-coding RNA (493 nucleotides) under Elaeis guineensis (African oil palm). Its description in RNAcentral is "long non-coding RNA (EGUI_LNC080202)". The record is from RNAcentral. Lineage: Eukaryota; Viridiplantae; Streptophyta; Magnoliopsida; Arecales; Arecaceae.